AAAAAUUCAAAUAAUAAAAGUCAAGCCACACCCAAAAUGAAGAAAUGGGAAGAAAAUUAGGAUUUAAGCCUAUUUUUAAAACAAGCCAAGACCCGGCCGCUUCACUGGUUCGGCCGUCCGACCACCGGGUCGGCCGGUUCUCUAAAAAACACGGUUUUUGGCUUCCACCGGCUUUUGUCUUUCACCCAUCCAUUUUAUAGCCCGGUAAACGGUUCGGGCGGUUCGACCAGGCGGUCUAGUUGGGCUUUAAAACACUUCUUAUUCUAUAAAAGCGAAAGUAAGAACUCAUAUUGUAUGAUUUACUUCCGCGAUUACUUUUGUUGUGUUCUGACUACCUCUUGAUUAUCUAUCACUCUUAUGAUGUUUUCCCCCAGCUUUUAUCCUAUACUCUCUGUAAAGCACCCUGUUGUUCUCACUUGUGCUUGUGUUAAUUUUUUGGCAAGUGAAAAAUUGUUUCCUUGCUGAUAAACUUUCGACCCCAGAUGAAUGGUAUGAAAUCACCAAGUUUUUACAAAAAUCGCUUAGGUUGCAUUUGGACGGAAGGAUUUUUGAGGGAAAAAUUUGAAAUAAGAAUUCAAUGCCUCCAUAUUAAAUGGAUUUGAUAUUUAUUACAAUGCCACAACAUAUAGUUCAAAAUGAAAGUUCCAAGGAUUUCAAAUCUUUUGUGGCAUGAAUUUAUCCAAGCAAGUUUGAUGGAUUUGUUAUUAAGGAUUUUUAAAAUUCUUAGAUCCAAAAUCCGUUGAUCCAAACACAAUCACAAUAAUAGAUACUCUAAAACCUGGAGAGCAAGUUCAAAGUAGUAUGUAUUGCAAUGGUACUAGUUAUCUUUGACCAUUUGGUCUCUGGCUAUUACUAUUAAGGCACACCUCCUCCAAUAUGCCAUCUAAUAUCCUUUUCUUUUUCUUUCCUUUAUUUGCCUUUCUGUUUGCAGUUCUCUUAUGUUAUAUCCCUCUUUCUAAUCCUUUUGUGUUAAAUUUAUAACAGUGAUGAUUUGACAGAGAAUUGAUUGCAAUUUAAGAACCUGUUGAGGAGGUUGAUAAGAAUCUUUUAAUAUUUUAUUGAGGCAUGUUCUAAGAGAAUUGAGGGUGAUGAUUCUGGGCACAAGCACUGUACCGGACAAUACUUUGACUAUUGGCGCUGUGUUGACAAAUGUGUUGCCACUAAGCUAUUCACUCAUCUUAAAUAACAGAACAGGACGUGGUUUGUAUAAUAGAGCCUGAUUAUGCUCUUUUCUUUUUAAAAGACGUAGGAAUUUGAUUUUGUUAUUGCUACAAGCUACUGAUGCUUUUUGCGCCCAACUCCUUAGCUCCAUGGAAUUUUGAGGCAAGGAGGCUUCUUGGAUCAAUAAAAUGAGAAUUGUGGAAUUGAAUCUUUUUUCACGAUGAUUGAAUUUCCUCCGUGUUUGGUGCCGGCUGCGGUAUUUUAUG
Molecule: non-coding RNA, 1427 nt
Organism: Sesamum indicum (sesame)
Lineage: Eukaryota; Viridiplantae; Streptophyta; Magnoliopsida; Lamiales; Pedaliaceae
Source: RefSeq, a predicted model, not a curated record